CCUACGGGUGGCAGCAGUGGGGAAUAUUGCGCAAUGGGCGAAAGCCUGACGCAGCGACGCCGCGUGAGGGAUGAAGGUCUUCGGAUCGUAAACCUCUGUCAGCAGGGAAGAACGGUCACUGUGCUAAUCAGCAGUGAAUUGACGGUACCUGCAAAGGAAGCACCGGCUAACUCCGUGCCAGCAGCUGCGGUAAUACGGAGGGUGCGAGCGUUAAUCGGAAUUAUUGGGCGUAAAGCGUGCGUAGGCGGUAUGUCAAGUCAAGGGUGAAAUCCCCGCGCUCAACGUGGGAACUGCCGUUGAAACUGGCAGACUGGAGUGUGUGAGAGGAUAGUGGAAUUCCAGGUGUAGGAGUGAAAUCCGUAGAUAUCUGGAGGAACAUCAGUGGCGAAGGCGACUAUCUGGCACAUAACUGACGCUGAGGAGCGAAAGCGUGGGUAGCAAACAGGAUUAGAUACCCGAGUAGUC
This 465-nucleotide ribosomal RNA is filed under the name uncultured bacterium. RNAcentral describes it as "partial 16S ribosomal RNA". It matches the Rfam family "Bacterial small subunit ribosomal RNA", at positions 338 to 795 of the family's 1533-position model. The record is from RNAcentral.